Molecule: ribosomal RNA, 497 nt
Filed under: uncultured bacterium
Lineage: Bacteria
Description: partial 16S ribosomal RNA
Rfam family: Bacterial small subunit ribosomal RNA
Source: RNAcentral
GAUGAACGCUGGCGGCGUGCCUAAUACAUGCAAGUCGAGCGAACAGAUGAGGAUCUUGCUCCUCUGACGUUAGCGGCGGACGUGUGAGUAACACGUGUAUAACCUACCUAUAAGACUGGGAUAACUUCGGGAAACCGGAGCUAAUACCGGAUAAUAUAUUGAACCGCAUGGUUCAAUAGUGAAAGACGGUUUUGCUGUCACUUCUAGAUGGAUCCGCGCCGCAUUAGCUAGUUGGUAAGGUAACGGCUUACCAAGGCAACGAUGCGUAGACGACCUGAGAGGGUGAUCGGCCACACUGGAACUGAGACACGGUCCAGACGCCUACGGGAGGCCGCAGUAGGGUAUCUUCCGCAAUGGGCGAAAGCCUGACGGAGCAGCGCGGAGUGAGUGAUGACGGUCUUCGGAUCGUAAAACUCUGUUAUUAGGGAAGAACAAAUGUGUAAGUAACUAUGCACGUCUUGACGGUACCUGAUCAGAAAGCCACGGCUAACUACGUG